This 943-nucleotide ribosomal RNA is filed under the name human gut metagenome. Its description in RNAcentral is "bacterial SSU rRNA". It matches the Rfam family "Bacterial small subunit ribosomal RNA", at positions 8 to 973 of the family's 1533-position model. The record is from RNAcentral.
AGAGUUCGAUCCUGGCUCAGGAUGAACGCUGGCGGCGCGCCUAACACAUGCAAGUCGAACGGCACCCACCCUCGGGUGGAAGCGAGUGGCGAACGGCUGAGUAACACGUGGAGAACCUGCCCCCUCCCCCGGGAUAGCCGCCCGAAAGGACGGGUAAUACCGGAUACCCCGGGGUGCCGCAUGGCACCCCGGCUAAAGCCCCGACGGGAGGGGAUGGCUCCGCGGCCCAUCAGGUAGACGGCGGGGUGACGGCCCACCGUGCCGACAACGGGUAGCCGGGUUGAGAGACCGACCGGCCAGAUUGGGACUGAGACACGGCCCAGACUCCUACGGGAGGCAGCAGUGGGGAAUCUUGCGCAAUGGGGGGAACCCUGACGCAGCGACGCCGCGUGCGGGACGGAGGCCUUCGGGUCGUAAACCGCUUUCAGCAGGGAAGAGUCAAGACUGUACCUGCAGAAGAAGCCCCGGCUAACUACGUGCCAGCAGCCGCGGUAAUACGUAGGGGGCGAGCGUUAUCCGGAUUCAUUGGGCGUAAAGCGCGCGUAGGCGGCCCGGCAGGCCGGGGGUCGAAGCGGGGGGCUCAACCCCCCGAAGCCCCCGGAACCUCCGCGGCUUGGGUCCGGUAGGGGAGGGUGGAACACCCGGUGUAGCGGUGGAAUGCGCAGAUAUCGGGUGGAACACCGGUGGCGAAGGCGGCCCUCUGGGCCGAGACCGACGCUGAGGCGCGAAAGCUGGGGGAGCGAACAGGAUUAGAUACCCUGGUAGUCCCAGCCGUAAACGAUGGACGCUAGGUGUGGGGGGACGAUCCCCCCGUGCCGCAGCCAACGCAUUAAGCGUCCCGCCUGGGGAGUACGGCCGCAAGGCUAAAACUCAAAGGAAUUGACGGGGGCCCGCACAAGCAGCGGAGCAUGUGGCUUAAUUCGAAGCAACGCGAAGAACCUUA